AAAAACCAAGUUCAUAUAAACAUUAGCACCAUACUCUCAUUCAGUAUUCUGUGUUAUGAUCUGGGCUGCAUGAUCUGGUGCAGCACCUCCAGUGAUACAGGGUAAAAGAGGUUAGAGGUCAGGGUUACCUGGUGUAGGACCUACAGUGAUACAGGGUAGAAGAGGUUAGAGGUCAGGGUUACCUGGUGUAGGACCUCCAGUGAUACAGGGUAGAAGAGGUUAGAGGUCAGGGUUACCUGGUGUAGGACCUCCAGUGAUACAGGGUAGAAGAGGUUAGAGGUUAGAGGUCAGGGUUACCUGGUGUAGGACCUCCAGUGAUACAGGGUAGAAGAGGUUAGAGGUCAGGUUUCCUGGUGUAGGACCUCCAGUGAUACAGGGUAGAAGAGGUUAGAGGUUAGAGGUCAGGGUUACCUGGUGUAGGACCUCCAGUGAUACAGGGUAGAAGAGGUUAGAGGUUAGAGGUCAGGGUUACCUGGUGUAGGACCUCCAGUGAUACAGGGUAGAAGAGGUUAGAGGUUAGAGGUCAGGGUUACCUGGUGUAGGACCUCCAGUGAUACAGGGUAGAAGAGGUUAGAGG
Molecule: long non-coding RNA, 577 nt
Organism: Oncorhynchus keta (chum salmon)
Lineage: Eukaryota; Metazoa; Chordata; Actinopteri; Salmoniformes; Salmonidae
Exons: 4
Source: RefSeq, a predicted model, not a curated record